This 361-nucleotide long non-coding RNA is filed under the name Nicotiana tabacum (common tobacco). RNAcentral's name for it is "long non-coding RNA (NTAB_LNC015281)". Lineage: Eukaryota; Viridiplantae; Streptophyta; Magnoliopsida; Solanales; Solanaceae. The record is from RNAcentral.
CAAGCUCGAAAUAACACCCUUUAAGGGUAAGGGACUUCGCCAAAAAGAAGAGUUCGACCUUGAUCAAAUGACGACGGGUUAAUAUUUCAAAAAGUUCAAAAUAACACCCUUUAAGGCCAAGGGCCAUCGCCAAAAAGAAGUGUUCGACCUUAAUCGAACAACGACGGUUUAAUAUUUCGAAUAGUUCAAAAUAACACCCUUUAAGCCCAAGGGCCUUCACCAAAAAGAAGAGUUCGACCUUGAUCGAAUGACGACGGGUUAAUAUUUUGACAAGUUCAAAAUUACACCAUUUAAGCCCAAGGGCCUUCACCAAAAAGAAGAGUUCGACCUUGAUCGAAUGACGACGGGUUAAUAUUUUGAC